This 373-nucleotide ribosomal RNA is filed under the name uncultured bacterium. RNAcentral describes it as "bacterial SSU rRNA". It matches the Rfam family "Bacterial small subunit ribosomal RNA", at positions 525 to 896 of the family's 1533-position model. The record is from RNAcentral.
ACGGAGGGGGCUAGCGUUGUUCGGAAUCAUUGGGCGUAAAGGGCGCGUAGGCGGCCGAUCAAGUCGGAGGUGAAAUCCCUCGGCUCAACUGAGGAAUUGCCUUCGAUACUGUUCGGCUUGAGUCCUGGAGAGGGUAGCGGAAUUCCCGGUGUAGCGGUGAAAUGCGUAGAGACCGGGAAGAACAUCAGUGGCGAAGGCGGCUACCUGGACAGGUACUGACGCUGAAGCGCGAAAGCUAGGGGAGCAAACAGGAUUAGAUACCCUGGUAGUCCUAGCUGUAAACGAUGGGCACUUGGUGUUGCGGGUAUCGACCCCUGCAGUGCCGAAGCUAACGCAUUAAGUGCCCCGCCUGGGGAGUACGGUCGCAAGGCUG